UUUGAUGUUUGAUCUCAAAUCAGGUAGGACUACCCGCUGAACUUAAGCAUAUCAAUAAGCGGAGGAAAAGAAACUAACAAGGAUUCCCCUAGUAACUGCGAGUGAAGCGGGAAGAGC
Molecule: ribosomal RNA, 117 nt
Filed under: uncultured ectomycorrhiza (Basidiomycota)
Lineage: Eukaryota; Fungi; Basidiomycota
Description: partial 28S ribosomal RNA
Rfam family: Eukaryotic large subunit ribosomal RNA
Source: RNAcentral